RNAcentral lists this ribosomal RNA (502 nucleotides) under uncultured bacterium. RNAcentral describes it as "partial 16S ribosomal RNA". It matches the Rfam family "Bacterial small subunit ribosomal RNA", at positions 28 to 523 of the family's 1533-position model. The record is from RNAcentral.
GAUGAACGCUAGCGGCAGGCCUAACACAUGCAAGUCGAGGGGCAGCACAGAAACAGCAAUGUUUUGGUGGCGACCGGCGGACGGGUGCGUAACGCGUAUGCAACCUACCUUUAACAGGGGGAUAACGGAGAGAAAUUUCCACUAAUACCCCAUAACAUCGAUCAAGGCAUCUUGAUUGGUUGAAAACUCCGGUGGUUACAGAUGGGCAUGCGUUGUCUAAGGUAGUUGGUGAGGUAAUGGCUCACCAAGCCUACGAUACAUAGGGGGACUGAGAGCUUGGCCCCCCACACAGGUACUGAGACACAGACCAGACUCCGACGGGAGGCAGCAGUGAGGAAUAUUGGGCAAUGGGGGCAACCCUGAACCAGCCAUGCCGCGUGCAGGAAGACGGCUCUAUGAGUUGUAAACUGCUUUUAAACAGGGAUAAAGCACAGUAUGUAUACUGUGUUGAAGGUACUGUAAGAAUAAGGAUCGGCUAACUCCGUGCCAGCAGCCGCCGCGG